GGGCAGUGGUCGGAAGGCCGCGCGGUGCACCGGCGCGGGGCGUGUUGCGGGCAAAGGUUGGGCCGUUGGGGAUAUGCCGUGCAGGGGAGGGAUAGCGCACACACGCGGUUGGCCAACUGCUGCGCCCCGUGCUGUUGCUUUGCUACCGACAAUUGGCGGCGCGGUGCCACGGCAGGCAGAUUGCACCGCGUGGCGCCAGCGAGUGCGCCGUGGUCACGGUGACCGCGUCCAGGCACAUCGCGUGUGUGCCGGAGUUCAAGGAAAGUUUUCUUUCAAUUUUUGAACUGAGUGCGUGAAACUCCAAAUAUAAAAGUUUGAGAUCAAACUGUAGGCUACAACUUCUGUGAAAGCCAAUAGGUGAAAAACUUGACGGAUUUAGA
Molecule: long non-coding RNA, 380 nt
Filed under: Setaria viridis
Lineage: Eukaryota; Viridiplantae; Streptophyta; Magnoliopsida; Poales; Poaceae
Description: long non-coding RNA (SVIR_LNC009296)
Source: RNAcentral